This 255-nucleotide ribosomal RNA is filed under the name Triticum aestivum (bread wheat). RNAcentral's name for it is "partial small subunit ribosomal RNA". Lineage: Eukaryota; Viridiplantae; Streptophyta; Magnoliopsida; Poales; Poaceae. The record is from RNAcentral.
AAGUCGUGUACACACAUGAACGAGCACGAUCGAUUGCCAUAUGCACUCUACUUGAUUUGAUGUAAUACGUAGCUAGCAAAUUCACGUGUAGUAGAAUAUAUUCCCUACCUUCGCAAUCUGUAACGGAAAGAAAGUAACAGGGAACCUUCACUUUGAUCAAGCCAUAUCGCUAUGGCAAAUAUAGGUAUAUUUUCUCCUCCCUUGGGAUGCAACUACACCCCACCAUACUCCUACACUUCUUUACUUUAAUUUAUA